Molecule: ribosomal RNA, 210 nt
Filed under: Haemophilus influenzae
Lineage: Bacteria; Pseudomonadati; Pseudomonadota; Gammaproteobacteria; Pasteurellales; Pasteurellaceae
Description: partial 16S ribosomal RNA
Rfam family: Bacterial small subunit ribosomal RNA (bases 100-210)
Source: RNAcentral
AAGCGGUGGAGCAUGUGGUUUAAUUCGAAGCAACGCGAAGAACCUUACCAGGUCUUGACAUCCCUCUGACCGCUCUAGAGAUAGAGCUUUCCUUCGGGAGGGGGCCCGCACAAGCGGUGGAGCAUGUGGUUUAAUUCGAAGCAACGCGAAGAACCUUACCAGGUCUUGACAUCCCUCUGACCGCUCUAGAGAUAGAGCUUUCCUUCGGGA